Molecule: ribosomal RNA, 628 nt
Filed under: Salegentibacter sp. b1s1
Lineage: Bacteria; Pseudomonadati; Bacteroidota; Flavobacteriia; Flavobacteriales; Flavobacteriaceae
Also listed under: 1 other name
Description: bacterial SSU rRNA
Rfam family: Bacterial small subunit ribosomal RNA
Source: RNAcentral
UUACACAUGCAGUCGAGGGGUACAGGGUUUUCGGACCGCUGACGACCGGCGCACGGGUGAUAACGCGUAUACAAUCUACCUUUUACAGGGGCAUAGCCCGGGGAAACCCGGAUUAAUAUCCCAUGGUAUCAAGACAUGGCAUCAUGAUUUGAUUAAAGCUUUGGCGGUAAAAGAUGAGUAUGCGUUCUAUUAGCUAGAUGGUAAGGUAACGGCUUACCAUGGCUACGAUAGAUAGGGGUCCUGAGAGGGAGAUCCCCCACACUGGUACUGAGACACGGACCAGACUCCUACGGGAGGCAGCAGUGAGGAAUAUUGGACAAUGGGCGAGAGCCUGAUCCAGCCAUGCCGCGUGCAGGAAGACUGCCCUAUGGGUUGUAAACUGCUUUUAUACGGGAAGAAACACUCCUUCGUGAAGGAGCUUGACGGUACCGUAUGAAUAAGGAUCGGCUAACUCCGUGCCAGCAGCCGCGGUAAUACGGAGGAUCCAAGCGUUAUCCGGAAUCAUUGGGUUUAAAGGGUCCGUAGGCGGGUUAAUAAGUCAGUGGUGAAAGUCUGCAGCUCAACUGUAGAAUUGCCAUUGAUACUGUUAACCUUGAGUAAUUAUGAAAGUGGUUAGAAUAUGUAGUGU